This 502-nucleotide ribosomal RNA is filed under the name uncultured bacterium. RNAcentral's name for it is "partial 16S ribosomal RNA". It matches the Rfam family "Bacterial small subunit ribosomal RNA", at positions 28 to 523 of the family's 1533-position model. The record is from RNAcentral.
GAUGAACGCUAGCGGCAGGCCUAACACAUGCAAGUCGAGGGGCAGCACAGAAACAGCAAUGUUUUGGUGGCGACCGGCGGACGGGUGCGUAACGCGUAUGCAACCUACCUUUAACAGGGGGAUAACGGAGAGAAAUUUCCACUAAUACCCCAUAACAUCGAUCAAGGCAUCUUGAUUGGUUGAAAACUCCGGUGGUUAAAGAUGGGCAUGCGUUGUAUUAGGUAGUUGGUGAGGUAAUGGCUCACCAAGCCUACGAUACAUAGGGGGACUGAGAGGUUAGCCCCCCCCACUGGUACUGAGACACGGACCAGACUCCUAGGGGAGGCAGCAGUGAGGAAUAUUGGUCAAUGGGGGCAACCCUGAACCAGCCAUGCCGCGUGCAGGAAGACGGCUCUAUGAGUUGUAAACUGCUUUUAAACAGGGAUAAAGCACAGUAUGUAUACUGUGUUGAAGGUACUGUACGAAUAAGGAUCGGCUAACUCCGUGCCAGCAGCCGCCGUAA